AAGUCGUAACAAGGUAACCGUAGGUGAACCUGCGGUUGGAUCAUUAUUGAGGAAUGGGCGGAGGGCGAACCCCUCCGCCUAACCCUCUCCUGCGUAGUGGUUCUCGUCGGGCGCGUGGAAUGCAGCAGUGCUUGUACUAGCACUGUUUUUUCUCCGCGCGUCCGUCGCGGGCCGGUAGGCAGGUUUGGGCUACCUAUUGUGCACUGUCUUUUGUCUCUGGCGGCGGGAUGUGAAGAGUGGGUGCUUGUUCACCCCUGGGGAGCAUCUGUCAGCCUUGAAUUCUGUUCAGGGCCGUGGACAAACCGCCAAAGGUUUUUGCGAUACUUUUGUCUUUUUUCUAUCAUGUCUGAAAUGUGUGACGCAGCCGCGUCUAUGAAUGUACAAACAACUUUUGGCAACGGAUCUCUUGGCUCUC
RNAcentral lists this unclassified non-coding RNA (415 nucleotides) under fungal sp. RNAcentral describes it as "partial internal transcribed spacer region". The stretch from base 1 to 46 matches the Rfam family "Eukaryotic small subunit ribosomal RNA", at positions 1786 to 1831 of the family's 1831-position model. Lineage: Eukaryota; Fungi. The record is from RNAcentral.